This 370-nucleotide ribosomal RNA is filed under the name uncultured organism. Its description in RNAcentral is "partial 16S ribosomal RNA". It matches the Rfam family "Bacterial small subunit ribosomal RNA", at positions 527 to 896 of the family's 1533-position model. The record is from RNAcentral.
GUAGGUGGCAAGCGUUGUCCGGAAUUAUUGGGCGUAAAGCGCGCGCAGGCGGUUCUUUAAGUCUGAUGUGAGAGCCCACGGCUCAACCGUGGAGGGUCAUUGGAAACUGGAGAACUUGAGUACAGAAGAGGAAAGCGGAAUUCCACGUGUAGCGGUGAAAUGCGUAGAGAUGUGGAGGAACACCAGUGGCGAAGGCGGCUUUCUGGUCUGUAACUGACGCUGAGGCGCGAAAGCGUGGGGGAGCAAACAGGAUUAGAUACCCUGGUAGUCCACGCCGUAAACGAUGAGUGCUAGUGUUAGGGGGUUUCCGCCCCUUAGUGCUGCAGCUAACGCAUUAAGCACUCCGCCUGGGAGUACGGCCGCAAGGCUG